UGCAAGUCGAGCGGUAGAAGGAAGCUUGCUUCCUUUGAGAGCGGCGGACGGGUGAGUAAUGCCUAGGAAUCUGCCUGGUAGUGGGGGAUAACGUUCGGAAACGAACGCUAAUACCGCGUACGUCCUACGGGAGAAAGCAGGGGACCUUCGGGCCUUGCGCUAUCAGAUGAGCCUAGGUCGGAUUAGCUUGUUGGUGAGGUAAUGGCUCACCAAGGCAACGAUCCGUAACUGGUCUGAGAGGAUGAUCAGUCACACUGGAACUGAGACACGGUCCAGACUCCUACGGGAGGCAGCAGUGGGGAAUAUUGGACAAUGGGGGAAACCCUGAUCCAGCCAUGCCGCGUGUGUGAAGAAGGUCUUAGGAUUGUAAAGCACUUUAAGUUGGGAGGAAGGGUUGUAGCUUAAUACGCUGCAACUUUGACGUUACCGACAGAAUAAGCACCGGCUAACUCUGUGCCAGCAGCCGCGGUAAUACAGAGGGUGCAAGCGUUAAUCGGAAUUACUGGGCGUAAAGCGCGCGUAGGUGGCAAGGUAAGAUGGGUGUGAAAUCCCCGGGCUCAACCUGGGAACUGCAUCCAUAACUGCUUCGCUAGAGUACGGUAGAGGGUAGUGGAAUUUCCUGUGUAGCGGUGAAAUGCGUAGAUAUAGGAAGGAACACCAGUGGCGAAGGCGACUACCUGGACUGAUACUGACACUGAGGUGCGAAAGCGUGGGGAGCAAACAGGAUUAGAUACCCUGGUAGUCCACGCCGUAAACGAUGUCAACU
This 766-nucleotide ribosomal RNA is filed under the name Pseudomonas sp. ER-64. RNAcentral describes it as "bacterial SSU rRNA". It matches the Rfam family "Bacterial small subunit ribosomal RNA", at positions 56 to 817 of the family's 1533-position model. Lineage: Bacteria; Pseudomonadati; Pseudomonadota; Gammaproteobacteria; Pseudomonadales; Pseudomonadaceae. The record is from RNAcentral.